CGGUGAGGCAAUCCGCUCAGGGUCACUCAGCUGGAGCAAAACAGAGUCAGGGUUUCAGAAGUAGUACUCUAAGCAGAGCAGAGUGAAGCGGAGUGACUAAAGAGAACACUGACGCUGAAGAGAGGCGGGAGGCACAGGAAGCACACUGGCCUCACGUGCGAGGCGUCAGGUCCACCUGGUCUCACCACGGCCCCCACAUACUCCCAGGCAACCCCCACGCAAGGCUUGCCACACGGAGUAAAAAGGCAGCUCUGUGCUCCUUCAGCUCAGCGAAACACAGUUCAGGAAAGUCUGGCUUCACACCUGUCCACGUGCUUUGGCGCUGCGGGCGACAGCACAAACUCUAACAUGGGCUGACGAAAUGGUCUUCUCAGGAGAGCUGGGGUCAUCUCCUCCUUCCUACAGGAAACAACCAAGAGGCCCCAUGGCUGCUGGACAGGAUACCUGAGCUUCUCCUAGAGCAACAAGAGCAAUAGGAACAAGAGACCGUGGGUGGGGGGUGGGGUUAGGAUCACCAGAUAGGAAGGGAGAGGGAAAGAGACCGCUUUGCUCCUACAGACUUUGGUGGGGCCCAGACCUCACCUUCCCGCUCAUCGCCCACCCCCCACUCCCUACCCCUCCCCACUCCCUACCACCCCACCCCCACACACUUUAGGAAGUUCUAGGAGAACAAAACUAAAGCAUUUGCAAAGGGGUCAUUUACUAAGAAAGAACUGAAGUCCUAGAAAAUCAAAAGGUCAGAGAGUACAUCAGGGCACUGCCCAGGGCUGACCCAAGCCAAGCACAGGCUGCUAGGUCAACAGCAGGAGGCCUCCAUCUACCACCUGGAAGGAUAAUGACUCCCAGCACACGCGCCAGGUUGGGAACUGCCAAUAAACAGAAGCACACACCCUUAAAGGCGCCAGGCCUGAGGCCAAAGAGGGGUGGGGUGUGGGGAUGAGAAGGGAACAGAGCUCCACACUGCCCAAGGUAGGCACACUGGGCUUAGCACACACAGAGCAGCACCCAAGGCCCUUUUCUACCCAUUCUGCAUCCAGCCCAGCCCCACCUCCAACAAGAAGGAACUUGGCUUUCCCGGGCAGAGGCAGGCAUGAGUGGAAUUCCCCUGAGGCAGGCUGCAUAGGGCAUCCAGCAACAGAGACCAUUCAUCAAGUUGCUUCUGGGGGGAGAAGGCAACCAGCUCAGCUUCUCCAGGGAAAAUCCAGUGCAGGCCCCAUAGCACCCCCACCACAGACAUUAAAAGCCAGAAGACCACUCAGGAGAGACAAUCAUCCCACAGAAGUCUCCCCUGGCAUAGAGGGAGCUGCCCAUAAAUUGGGCUCUUCUCAAUCAAAUGGCAAGUAGACAGCUUAAGGGAAAAGCAACUUUUAAAAAUAAGCAGAAAGUCUGGUGUUCCCCUACCCCAUGCCAUUUUCAGAGAAAGGGCAGCUCUGAUGUCAACGUACUUGGUUUAAAAUCCCAACAUAAACAUUUACUAGCGGUAGAACCUUGAGCAAACCAAUUAAUCUCUUUGAAUCUUACUAUCCUCCUCUAAAGCAUGGGGUGGUAAUACUACUAGCCUCAGAGGGUUUCUAUGAGUAUUAAAUAAAAUAACUCAUAAAGUACCAGGCAAAUAAAUUGUUGACAAAUUAAGGUAGCUUUUUUGAUGGAUGGUAAAACUAAAAAAAAAGAAAAAGAAAAAAUCAUGCAUCUGGUACAAAAAACACAGGAGUAGCUGUGGAAAUCACAGUACGGAAUUUGGCACGUCCAUGUUGGUGGCAGGAGAAGCAGAGCCCACCCCAUUUUGAGGCCCUGUACCCAGCAGCAAGGAAAAGAGGCUCACAAAAAAAACCCACAAAAACAAACACUUAUUUGUAGGAGCGGAGGAGUAAAAAGGCAUCAUAAGAAAAAGUACCAGCCCAGCCUGCCACUUUGCCCCCAUGGCUGUUAAAGUGACUCGAGUAGACUAAUGUUCACAGCAGGAUUAUUCAGAAUUGGUGACAAGUGGAAACAACCCAAAUGCUCAUCAAAUGAUGAGAAGACAAACAUGGUAUACUCAUCUACCAUUACAAUGGAGUAUUAUUUGGCCAUAAAAAAGAAGGAAGUACUGAUACUUGCUGUGACAUGGAUGAGCCCUGAAAACAUUGUGCUAAGGUGGAUGGGGCUGGAAGAGAUUAUAAUAAGUGAAGUCAGUCAGCAGGUAAAAGAAAAAUAUCGGAAGGUUUCACUUAUAGAGGGAAUAUAAGGAAACUGAACAAAGGGUCAGGAAAAAGGCAAAACUUGCAGGCAAACCAUAGAUCCGAGGCACCCAGUAGGGGAGGGAGAGAGUAAGGGGUCAAAACAGGGGAGGGAGGAGCACAAGGGACCAUGGUGAUGGUGCACAGGUGAUGUGGGGGUGGCAGAAU
Long non-coding RNA from Talpa occidentalis (Iberian mole), 2384 nucleotides. RefSeq lists it as uncharacterized. The record is from RefSeq and is a predicted model, not a curated record. The transcript is spliced from 3 exons. Lineage: Eukaryota; Metazoa; Chordata; Mammalia; Eulipotyphla; Talpidae.